Molecule: non-coding RNA, 813 nt
Organism: Callorhinus ursinus (northern fur seal)
Lineage: Eukaryota; Metazoa; Chordata; Mammalia; Carnivora; Otariidae
Source: RefSeq, a predicted model, not a curated record
GCCACAGGAUGGGGUGGAGCUCAGGCGGGGGGAACGAAAGACCGUCGGCAGAGAUCCCGAGGGACCUCGCGACCCCAGGCCACUUCACUAUCACCCAGGCGCCCGCGCCCCAGCCUAGGGCUGGGAGUUCCCGGGCCCUGGACAAUUCGGCACACUUGGGACACCCCUAAGAUGCCCAGAUCUCCAAACCCCUCCCCGGUACCCAGGCCUGACCCAGGCUGAAGAGGUAGCAGGCCUGACGGGAGAGGGUACCACCACCCUGAUGCAACCUUCCAAGUCAACUGGAUCCCUCUUUCUGCUCCAUUCCCUCAGGAAAACCCUUAUUCUUUUACCGUAGGGGAAGGGGGCACAGGGACCAAAUCUAUUGCUCAGCCAUAGAGUACAUAUAUGUACUGCCCCACACAUGAAUUUGAAAAGAAUGUUAAAUUAACUGCUGUCAUUUAAAAUCAAGGAUAUGUCACAGGAAAAUCCACGUGUCUGGCUCCUCUUGACGAAUGGAAGUGACUGGCCAUCUUGGGCCUGCAUUUUCCAUGGCCAUUGCCGCUGCACCCCUUGGAGGAGGCUCUUCAGGAGCGCCCACCACACCCAGUGACUUCACUCCUAUCUGCCAUCAGCCAGGCCCCUGGCUUCUUCUAGAAUUCUUAUGCCAUCCUCCUGUCUUAUACCAUGUUUCAUCACAUAAUCAUCUCCCCUCUGGAGCACAGGGGCCACUUCCCCUUCAUCCCUGUUCCCUCACAGCUCCUAUCACAGGGCCCAACACACAGCAGGGAAGUAAACGAAUGAACGGUGGCCAAGCAAGGCCUCCUAACCAAA